AUGAGGACGAGGACGGGGAUGGGAACGGGGACGGGGAUGGGAACGAGGACGGGGCCGGGGACGGGGCCGGGGACGGGGUCGGGGACGAGGACGGGACCGGGGAUGGGAACGGGGAUGGGGACGAGGACGGGGACGGGGACGCGGGCGCCCCCCCAGGGGCCGAGGCGGGCCAGGUCCAGCGACCACCGCCCCCCCCCCGCGGUCCCACCCGUCCGGCCGCCGGUCCCCGCAGCAGCAGGCGCGGGCGCACACGGCCAGGCGGGCACGUCUCCGCGCUCCCCGCCCCAAGCCCCGCGCCCUCGGCCCCGCUGCACAGACGACCUUGCGGCCCCGCCCGACCCCGCCGGAGUCACCGGAGCCCGGGCCCGGGAGCCGGCGGGGCGGAGCGCGGCCGCGGCGGAGGGGGGCGCCCCGGGCCCUCGCUGCGGGCGCUGUCCCCCGGGGCGCGCGGCCGGAGCCCCGCCCUGGGCCCCCCUCCCCUCCCCCCCGCCCCGAGCGGCUCCGAGUCGCGGGGUCGGCGGGGCCGGCGGGGCGGCGCGGCGGGCGGGCGGGCGGGCGGGAGCGCGGUCACGCACCCGGGGAGCGGGCGCCCCUCCGUCCCCGCGCGCCCCCGCCCCCGCCCGCGCGCCCCCCGCGCCCCACCCCCACCGCGGCCCGCGGCUCCCGCCCAAUCAGAGGCCGCGCACGCGGCGCCGCCGCCGGGCACCCCCCGCGCCCCGGCCUGCGCCCCCGCGGCCCCCGCCCGCCGCCGCCCGGCCCGGCCCGGCCCGGCCGCUCUCACCGUCCGGGGCGCGCACCGGGCGCGCCGCUCCGCUCCGGGCCCGCAUCCCCCGGCUCCGGCUCCCGCUCCCGCUCCGGCUCCGGCUCGGGGUCCGCUCCGCAGGGCUCGGCUCCGCGGCGGCGGCGAGGCGGGAGGGCGUGCGCGCGUGUCCGUGCGCGCGCCGCGUGUGCGUGGGGCGGGAGGGCCGGCUCCGGCUCCGGCUCCGGCUCCCGGCUCCCGCUCCCCGGCGCCCCCGCGCGCCCCCGCGCCCCGCGCCGCCCAGCCCCGAGCGCGCCGCCCCCGCCCCCGCCCCCGCCCCGGGCACCCGCGCCCCCCGCGCCCCCCGCGCCCCGCGCGCCCCCCGCGCCCCCCGCGCCCGCGCGCCCCGCCCCGCCUCUCCCCAGCCCCCCGCCCUCCGCGCACCUGCUCCGCGCCCUGUCCGCCGCCUCCCCGCCGUCCGUCCGUCUGCCCGUCGCCGCCCCCGCCGCCCCUCGCAUCCCCGCAGGACCCGGGGCGCCGCCCGCCGCCCAGCCCGGGUCCGGUCCGGGUCCGGGAGCUCCGCGGGCCGCUGGGGCUCCCGCUCCGGCUCCGGCUCCGGCUCCGGCCUGGCGGCGGCUGAGCAUCGCGCCCGGGCUUAA
RNAcentral lists this long non-coding RNA (1398 nucleotides) under Canis lupus familiaris (dog). RNAcentral describes it as "lncRNA (ENSCAFG00030008231.1)". Lineage: Eukaryota; Metazoa; Chordata; Mammalia; Carnivora; Canidae. The record is from RNAcentral.